AGUGAACGCUGGCGGUAGGCCUAACACAUGCAAGUCGAACGGCAGCACAGUAAGAGCUUGCUCUUACGGGUGGCGAGUGGCGGACGGGUGAGGAAUACAUCGGAAUCUACUUUUUCGUGGGGGAUAACGUAGGGAAACUUACGCUAAUACCGCAUACGACCUACGGGUGAAAGCAGGGGAUCUUCGGACCUUGCGCGAUUGAAUGAGCCGAUGUCGGAUUAGCUAGUUGGCGGGGUAAAGGCCCACCAAGGCGACGAUCCGUAGCUGGUCUGAGAGGAUGAUCAGCAACACUGGAACUGAGACACGGUCCAGACUCCUACGGGAGGCAGCAGGGGGGAAUAUUGGACAAUGGGCGCAAGCCUGAUCCAGCCAUACCGCGUGGGUGAAGAAGGCCUUCGGGUUGUAAAGCCCUUUUGUUGGGAAAGAAAAGCAGCAGGUUAAUACCCCGCUGUUCUGACGGUACCCAAAGAAUAAGCACCGGCUAACUUCGU
RNAcentral lists this ribosomal RNA (491 nucleotides) under uncultured bacterium. RNAcentral's name for it is "partial 16S ribosomal RNA". It matches the Rfam family "Bacterial small subunit ribosomal RNA", at positions 29 to 506 of the family's 1533-position model. The record is from RNAcentral.